GACGAACGCUGGCGGCGCGCCUAACACAUGCAAGUCGAACGAGCGAGAGAGAGCUUGCUUUCUCGAGCGAGUGGCGAACGGGUGAGUAACGCGUGAGGAACCUGCCUCAAAGAGGGGGACAACAGUUGGAAACGACUGCUAAUACCGCAUAAGCCCACGACCCGGCAUCGGGUAGAGGGAAAAGGAGCAAUCCGCUUUGAGAUGGCCUCGCGUCCGAUUAGCUAGUUGGUGAGGUAACGGCCCACCAAGGCGACGAUCGGUAGCCGGACUGAGAGGUUGAACGGCACAUUGGGACUGAGACACGGCCCAGACUCCUACGGGAGGCAGCAGUGGGGAAUAUUGCACAAUGGGGGAAACCCUGAUGCAGCGACGCCGCGUGGAGGAAGAAGGUCUUCGGAUUGUAAACUCCUGUUGUUGAGGAAGAUAAUGACGGUACUCAACAAGGAAGUGACGGCUAACUACGUG
Molecule: ribosomal RNA, 465 nt
Filed under: uncultured bacterium
Lineage: Bacteria
Description: partial 16S ribosomal RNA
Rfam family: Bacterial small subunit ribosomal RNA
Source: RNAcentral